Homo sapiens (human) is the source of this 1744-nucleotide long non-coding RNA. The record is from Ensembl. Lineage: Eukaryota; Metazoa; Chordata; Mammalia; Primates; Hominidae.
UUGCCAGGAGCUCCGUUGGCGCUGCAACCAUCUUGACUUGGAAUCAACCACCCUAUAGGCCACGCUGUAGCCUUAGAUACUCUAACUCGUGAAAUUUUCAUCGACCGUCGUCCAUAGGGCAAGGCACGCUUCUGCCCUCUGUGGGACAGAGUUGUCGAUGAUUAUAGGUGCGGAUACCCGCUUCAGCCUGUGUUAAUCGGGGAUGCAGCCCCCCACCCUUCCUGCCGUGGUUCUACCCAGCCUGCUGCGGACGCCUGAGCCAGGUGCGUCACCCCCACCUGGGCUGACCAGGCCAGGACUUCGUCGUCCGCGGGACGCUGGGGGGCGCCUGCCGACUGGCACCGGCGGCUAGCUCCGCACGAAUGGGAAAUCCCGGGCUCCGCUCGCCAACCUGUUACUGCUGCAGAACGCCAGGAAGCUCAGCCUGAUCCCACAGAUUAGGGUAAAAUAUCCCGGGGGGCCGAAGUGGAAACCGGAGUUGCGUCAUUGCUCCCACCCGAUAUCACCUUGGCAGCGACCGCGGCUGACCACGUUCCCGGCCUGUCGCGAAUCUCACCCAAGGGAGCUGAGUCUCAGCUUCCCUGGUCCCUGGUCCCGAGUUCCGCCUUCCCCCCCCGCCCCGUGGCAUCGGCGUGAGGGGAAAAGAUAAAGACUACCUCCUGAGACCUGGAAUUGUGGAUGGCUGCGGAAAACUCACCACAGGAAAUUUUGGCUUAAAGUUAUUCUCUGCUUCCCUUGACUGUGUGAUAGGCACCGCUCUAUCUGCUAGAGGACAGGUGAAAAAGAUGGGGUUCCCUCUUCUUAGAACUCACUGUGCAGUGGGAGAAUGUAUAAAUAAAUAGUAAUUACAACAUAAUCUUCUGGAAUAGAAAUGCUCACAAAAUCAUCCAGCAGUCGAUGACCUCCUUUAGCCAGGGAAGAUAUUGCUAUUCGCCUCUUACAGAGGAGGAAACCAUGGCUCAGAGGGACAAGGUGAAAGGGUGGGAAAUUGAGGCAUAGAAAGUUUAAGUGAUAUGCCCAACAUGACUCAGCUAAUCAAUGAAGGACUAGUGCUAGAGCCCAGCAAAUCUGCUGGUGCAAUGGUCUCUGAACCAUUUCUGAGACAGCUAUGCUGGACUACAUCAUAACCAGCCCCUCACAACUCAAUAAUAGGGUUAAAAGAAAUAGACUGAGAUUAAAUAGAAGGAAGAACCUUCCAACAGUGAAGUUUGUUAAGCACUGCAACAGUUCAUUAUGGAGGUAUCAUGGCAACUUUCUGGGAAGACUUAAACAAAAGACAGAAGAGAGGCAUAGCGUUUGAUUGAACUUGGGAAUGGACCAUUUAUUCUGAGAAACAGAUGAAGUGCCCCUUUAGAGGUCCUGCCAGUCUGAUGGAUGGAUUCUCUACCUGUAAUGAAAGUAAUAGGAAGGAUCCCCUUGCCCAAAGCAUCGUGGGAAAGCUAGCGGUGAUUCUUGUGGGAAGAAAAGCAUAAGAGGAAAUUUCCAACCACCAAUACCUUGGGACAUUCUCUGCAAGUCCCAUGAGCCUCUGAAAGAGGUUGAACACUCAGAAGUCACUUUUGUGGUGCUUGACUGGCCUGACAUCUUGCAAAUAAACCUUAUCAAAAGAUGGUGGAAGAUGCGUACUAAGUAUUCCGUAGUAACUGAGAGUUAGUCUUUUUUCACAGCCUUUGUUGGAGGAGAGGUACUUGUAAUUCACAUGUGUAAACUGCUUUAUAAUUUAAAAAUUCUUUGGAAUAUCUUA